RNAcentral lists this ribosomal RNA (400 nucleotides) under uncultured bacterium. RNAcentral's name for it is "bacterial SSU rRNA". It matches the Rfam family "Bacterial small subunit ribosomal RNA", at positions 356 to 773 of the family's 1533-position model. The record is from RNAcentral.
GGGGAAUAUUGGACAAUGGGCGCAAGCCUGAUCCAGCCAUGCCGCGUGAGUGAUGAAGGCCUUAGGGUUGUAAAGCUCUUUCAGUGGGGAAGAUAAUGACGGUACCCACAGAAGAAGCCCCGGCUAACUUCGUGCCAGCAGCCGCGGUAAUACGAAGGGGGCUAGCGCUGUUCGGAUUUACUGGGCGUAAAGCGCACGUAGGCGGAUUGUUAAGUCAGGGGUGAAAUCCUGGAGCUCAACUCCAGAACUGCCUUUGAUACUGGCAAUCUCGAGUCCGGAAGAGGUAAGUGGAACUCCUAGUGUAGAGGUGGAAUUCGUAGAUAUUAGGAAGAACACCAGUGGCGAAGGCGGCUUACUGGUCCGGAACUGACGCUGAGGUGCGAAAGCGUGGGGAGCAAAC